This 301-nucleotide ribosomal RNA is filed under the name uncultured bacterium. RNAcentral's name for it is "partial 16S ribosomal RNA". It matches the Rfam family "Bacterial small subunit ribosomal RNA", at positions 509 to 807 of the family's 1533-position model. The record is from RNAcentral.
CAGUCGCCGCGGUAAUACGUAGGGUGCAAGCGUUGUCCGGAAUUAUUGGGCGUAAAGAGCUCGUAGGCGGUCUGUCGCGUCGAAUGUGAAAAUCCGAGGCUCAACCUCGGACCUGCAUUCGAUACGGGCAGACUAGAGUUCGGUAGGGGAGUCUGGAAUUCCUGGUGUAGCGGUGAAAUGCGCAGAUAUCAGGAGGAACACCAGUGGCGAAGGCGGGACUCUGGACCGAUACUGACGCUGAGGAGCGAAAGCGUGGGGAGCAAACAGGAUUAGAUACCCCAGUAGUCCCUGUCUCUUAUAC